UACGGAGGGUGCAAGCGUUAUCCGGAUUUAUUGGGUUUAAAGGGUCCGUAGGCGGGCCCGUAAGUCAGUGGUGAAAUCUCGCAGCUUAACUGUGAAACUGCCAUUGAUACUGCGGGUCUUGAGUAAAUUUGAAGUGGCUGGAAUAAGUAGUGUAGCGGUGAAAUGCAUAGAUAUUACUUAGAACACCAAUUGCGAAGGCAGGUCACUAAGAUUUAACUGACGCUGAUGGACGAAAGCGUGGGGAGCGAACAGG
Molecule: ribosomal RNA, 253 nt
Filed under: uncultured bacterium
Lineage: Bacteria
Description: partial 16S ribosomal RNA
Rfam family: Bacterial small subunit ribosomal RNA
Source: RNAcentral